GCUAAAUUCCCAGCCCCUUGGAGACUGAAUUUUUAAGUGCAAGGGAUUUGAACCCAAGGCCUGGUACCACUGAGCAAUCUCCCAGCCUUAAGAUGUAGAUUCUUGAAUUUCAUUCUCUAGUCAGGUACCGGGAAUCGAACUCACGAACUUGCACUUGCCAGGCAGGCCCUGUGCUGCUGAGCUAAAUCCCCAACCCCUUCCAUCACAUCUGGAGCAUGACUUACCCUGUCCCGAUGGAUUCCCGCUGAAGCUGACCCAAUGCAGAGCCAAGUGCAAGGCAUUUCUCGGGGAGGCACAGGGACUUGGUACUGGGAAGAGGGUAGGGAUACCAGAGUGGCACACAGACCAGCUACCAAGCCAGUGAUGGCGGCUCACACCUAUGUGGAAACUGGGAACAUAUGCAAAGCAUGUCUCACUAUCCCUUUUCCUAAGAGACAAAGGAGCUGAAGUCUUCAUGCCCUAAGUCCCAUUCGCCAUUGGCUGAGGGCUGUCCCUGGUCUAUUAAUUCUCCAGCACUGGUGGCCUGCGAAUGUGGGCUCUGGAAGGAGCUGUCAAGCUCAGAGAUGCAGGCAGUCAGCAGUGGAGGUCAAUGGAAGCAUGCAGAGAUGGGGGCACCGACAGCGUUUACCACACAGCUCGCCUCCAGUGUAUGAGGGCCCUUCUCUGAUGUGUGUCAGGGUGCUUUGGUGGGAUGUUCCUGACUCAGAAGUGUGACUUUAUCCGUGUUCACCAAAAACUGUGUGCUCCUCAAAGUAAGAGUGGGUCAGACUCAUAUAAUUGCAUCGGCACAGUGUCCUGUCCAGUACUGCAUAUAAAUAACCACACUGCGUAGAAAUAACUUUCUCACAUGCAUUUUGAUGGUGUCACGUUGAGGAUUAGAAUAGCUUCUUUCAUUCCACAACAUUUAGGCCAGUAGACAUCAUCAUGAUGAGUCUGUAACUUAACCCGAUUCUUAUGGUUAAGUGAGGUAAGUGGUAGAGUCCUUUUGCAGACCAGCUUUUGUAACACAGGGUUGAUUUACAACACACAGAGAAAUGCAGCUUUGGCAGAUCCCUAUUAGUUUGAUUAGCAUCACCAACUCAAUGGAAAAAAUUCAGUACUCCAAAUUCUAGAACCAAAAUCACAUUUUUAGAUGUACAGAUUUCCUUCUGUGUCUUUUGAAUCUAAAUGAAAAAGAAGCAUAACAAUUUUAAAGUCUUUAUAUAGAGCAUAAGCUGUUUUUAUAAAUGUGGAAUAAUUCAUUGAGGAUGUAAGUAAUGUUGAGGAGGUAUCCUGAAAAAACCUUGUUUUUGAUGUAAUCCAGUCAAAUGGGUUAUUUUUUCCCCUCUGGCACUGCCACCCCCAGUACAUUUUGACAAAGUGAAUUUCCAUAUGUUUCAUCUAAAUGAGUCACAUUCACAGAAAUCAUUCAAAUUAUCUGUGAAUAUUUUUCUUUCGUUCGUGGAUUGAAGGUGGGUGGUUAUGAGGAGUGGGGCGGAUGAUGGGCUUCGUUCUCCAAACCCCAAAUCCUUCAGCUGCCUUUCAUUCCGUACGCCCUGUGCACUCCAGCUUUAUGCUAUACCAGAGGGAAACAGCCAAGUAAAUUGCAAAGAUUAUUCAAUUCCAGUCCACUUUAAGUGCCCUUAAAGGGAGACUGCACUCACAACUUGUCAGCGGGCAGCGAUGCAUUUGCCAUGGAGAAUGCUAGGUGAGAGGUUUCAGAUCACGUAGUAGAGGCAGCCCUCUUCUGAAAAGAUAAUGUCAUCUGUAGCCGGCCGGAUGGAGCGAGACUCGGGUGAGCAGUACCGAGUUGCUCCAGGACCGAGGGAACCAUCUACAGGCUGUCUUACAAGGUGAGUAAACACUGGCAUGGUGUGGCACACCUUCAGCCUAAGGGCCACAAUUGUUCUUUUAGUCUGUCCAUGCCACCUUAUACUGACCUGAAAUCGACACAAACCUGAAUACAAAUGUGACAAUACUUGGGUGCUGGGCCUGUAGCUCAGUGGUAUCCGCCAAGCACAAGACCCUGGGUCAAAUCCCAGCACAAACACCCAAAGCAAACAGAAAUAAACAGCACCAAAAUGAGGCAAUGCCCUUAAUCUGCGCAAGCAAAAGAGAUCCCCUCUGCUGACUGGGUUUAAUGGUGUAUUUGAUUUUCACCUGCCAGUCAAAGGCUGUCUUUAUGAGUCGGUACUUACAGAGUACUCACAUUUGAAUGGCUUAGAUAGGGUGGAUUUAUUAUUGGCUGGUGCUUUCAAAUGAGCGGGUGGGAACAUCUCAUUGAUUCAUUGCUUUUUGAGUUCCACAGUCCCUCUGAGCUCUUGGAAAAAUCCCACUCAGUUCAUUUUGACACACCCGUUGGGCACUAAGGCUGUGGCUGAUGCUGGCGUGACCAGCUAGCCGGACUGUCUGCGAUGUUAAGUGCCUGGUAGGUGCUCAUAGAAACCCGCAGUUUCACAGCACUGCCUAUUGGCUCUGUCUACAGGGAUGGAGGGAGAAGGAAAGGGAAAGAAGGUGGAGUGGGAGAAGGAAGAUCUAUAAAUAGAUCAUUGCAUGCAGGAAAUGUGACAGGAACGUAGCUGAGGUGGAGGAAAGUGUCUUUCCUCUUUGCAUUUAUGAAUAUUACUACACUGGAAGCAUUCCAUGUUGUGGGGCAGUGUGAUACACCCAACCUGAGGUCUUUAAAUAUUUCUAAAGUGGUGACUCUGAAGUCCUAUGAGAUGAGGUGGCUCCUGUCUCACCCUGGCUGUCUGCUUUCUGCUUGAACAAGCACCCAUGAUGGCUCGAGUGGGAACCUGUGGUCUGCCCAGUGUCGUGCCCCCCACUUUGCUGGCGGGGCGGCACAUCGAAGCAGACAGCACCUGCGUGGCUGCCUGACUUCACAGGACAGGGGUGUGGAAGCUGUUCGCAUCUGCACACACAACAGAGCCAGAAAGUAGACUGGGAUCAACCUGUCUCAUUUUAUUAAAAAAAUAUUAUUUAUACUGUACCUAUUUCUAAGGCAUCUUUGAAAUGACUUACAAUAAAAGAAAAAUAAAUGAGACUCAUUUAAGAAGGAUGAAAAGUUAAAGAUUAUGUCAAGUAGAAAAUGAUAAGCCUAGGCUAAUAAUAGCUAUUACAGGUUAACACUAAUUUUAGUAGUGAGUUCCCAGGCAAUCACAAUUUAAAAAUGUGGGGAGGGACUUAACUUUGAUACCUAAAAGAAUACAUGUGAGUUCAUCCAGAGGUGAGCUUUCUCCUAAGAUUGCUAACUCUUAAUAGAAACUUAUUUCAAGGACCCUGCAUGUAGGCAGGGACUAACUAAUGAGCGCUUUUAGUGGUGAUAUUUUUUAAAUUGUAGAAAUGUUCUUCAUGUGCCUAUUUCUUACAGUGUGAAAAGGAGCUGGCUGGUUCAUGUAGGAGACUUAAAAUAAUCUUUAGCGUUUGAGUUUUACUUCGACUGAGCUGUAUCUUACCCACGCCAGAAGCAUGGACAUGAGCUUUCUGGCAGGAAAUCUGAGCCCUGGCCCUCUUCGUCUUUGGCUGAGCUGUUUUCUGUCCCAGGCUCUAAAAGGACUGGCCAUGUGCCUUCCCCAAAGCAUUUAUUGCCGCGGUUCUGCGGUUCCUUGGGGCUGUCUUCAUUAAGAAUUCUUGAAAUUCCUCUCUUUUCUCACUUGCGGAGGGCCUUGGGAUACGGAUUUAUGGUCCCUUUAGAGCUUAGGCCUGUCUCAAAAAAUCUUGGACUGUUCUGGAAAGCACCCGGAGCCUGCUAGAUACCUUCUGUGUCCUGCUGGGAAUGUGGCCCUUUUCUGUGAUGUGUGCUGAUUCUGAACUCCGGUGCUCCAGCUGAGGAGAUGAGAACCCAGCUUCCGGAGAGACCUUUGAAAUGACACACCAUUUCAUUGCAGUGGUCAAUGCCACAACUAAUUUCGGCAAUCCUUUGUGUUUCACAAAAAUGCUCCCCGUCAUUAAUAUUUACAGUAUUUUAUUUCCCAAAUUCUGCCUAGUUCAAUGACAUCACAGAUACUGUGUAUCUCAUCUUCAAAGGCUAUGAAAUAAUUUGAUGAAAGCAGCAAAUUGAGCCUGGCUCAGAGCCAUUCAUACAGCGGGCAUAGAACCCAGAUGCCAAAUGUCAAAUAUCAUUUUAAACCAGCAGAGCGCUAAAGGAAUAGAACAGUUUACCUGGAUAGCAAUGCCAUUCCAGUUAAUAGAGAACUCAAGAAGGAAAUGAUAUCGGGGUAAAGACACAUGAAAAACAUUCAAUAACCUUCAGAACAUAUGGAAAUUAAUGAUAUUCAAAGUUUGCAGAAUACUGAGAUUUUUCAGCUUAAAAUAAUCUUCCUGCUGAUGCGCAGUUACUGGAGGGUUCCCAAAAUGCCACAGAGAAAAUUAGAUGCAAGCAAAAAAAGCAAAGCUCUGCUCUGGGACUCAGGGUGUGGGGUGGAAAUAAAGUGCAGUCG
Molecule: long non-coding RNA, 4418 nt
Organism: Chinchilla lanigera (long-tailed chinchilla)
Lineage: Eukaryota; Metazoa; Chordata; Mammalia; Rodentia; Chinchillidae
Exons: 3
Source: RefSeq, a predicted model, not a curated record